ACAAUNNGAAUGAGACACGGCCCAGACUCAUACGGGAGGCAGCAGNGGGGCAUNANGCGCAANGGGCGAAAGCCUGACGCAGUCACUCCGCGUGCGGGAAGAAGGCCCUCGGGUUGUAAACCGNUUUCAGAAGGCNCGNAAAUGACGGUANUUUCAGAAGAAGGUGCGGCCAACUACGUGCCAGCAGCCGCGGUGACACGUAGGCACCAAGCGUUGUCCGGAUUUAUUGGGCGUAAAGAGCUCGUAGGCGGUUCGGNAAGUNGNGUGUGNAAAUUUUGGGCUCAACCCAANGCGUGCACUCGAUANUGCCAUGACUAGAGUUCGGUAGGGGAGUGGGGAAUUCUUAGUGUAGCGGUGAAAUGCGCAGAUAUUAGGAGGAACACCGGUGGCGAAGGCGCCACUNCUGGGC
This 409-nucleotide ribosomal RNA is filed under the name uncultured soil bacterium C058. RNAcentral describes it as "partial 16S ribosomal RNA". It matches the Rfam family "Bacterial small subunit ribosomal RNA", at positions 310 to 734 of the family's 1533-position model. The record is from RNAcentral.